Molecule: long non-coding RNA, 2921 nt
Organism: Gallus gallus (chicken)
Lineage: Eukaryota; Metazoa; Chordata; Aves; Galliformes; Phasianidae
Source: Ensembl
AGGGCAGUGACCAGUUCCUCAUGGCAUGCUGUGGGCGUGCAGCACUCGCUGUGACUGCAAUGUCUUGGUAGCAGGCAGCUGCUGGCUGUGAGCGCUCACAGGCCUGUCUCAAGCUGCUAGCAUCCUAAAAAGCUGUUGACCCUCGCGGGACACUCAAUAUCUGACUGUGACAACAAGGAUGUCAUCAGCACACAUAGGUAUAUCAAAUGGAUGCAAAGUCUGUGAUCUUAAAAGAACUGCAAGCAAGAUCAGUGCAGAAAGUAAACUUCUUACACAGACCAUAAGUGAGAAGCAGAAGAGGUCAAAGCUGUCAGAGGAAAUGAAAGGCCAUGUGCUCUGCCCUUCCCCUCUUCAAGGAAGGUUACUGUCCCAAAACUGGUUUGACCUGCUGCAUUCCAUCAUAAGGAUCACGUAAUGAAUGUGACAAUGCAAUAGCUGAAAUAAAGACUACAUCUGUAGUGGUGCAGAUAAGUGGCGAAGUCUUUCAUUUAAUGAUAAGACACGUGUUUGUUUGUGGGUUUUGUUUUUGUUUUUUUUAAAUUCCAUGUUAGAGUGCCAGAUCAGAUACUUACAUUUUUCAUGAUUUUUUUUUUUCAUAAUGUGAAUCACUGAUGCUAUCUUACUGUACCAGCAAGAUAUGAUGUGACUUUACAUACAUAUUGUAUUCAGUACAAACAAAUCAGAAUUUCAGCCAACAAAUUGCAAGUCAAGAGCAGCUGGAUCCCCACUGCCAUUUUCAAACAAGCAAGUAGCUCAGUUAGAAUUAGGUAGGCUUUUCAUAUUCUGUAACACUGUAUGAAGGAAAAGUCAAAUUACAUAUUAUGUUUUAUGACAUUUCAUUUCUUGUUUGUGCAGCUUUUUACUAUUGUCACUAAAAUUGAGAUCUGUUACUAAGCGUGAGCUUUCUAUCCUAGAGAAAGUCUUUUCUCCUCUUUGUGUGGGAAUAUUCUUUUAUGUCUUCAUAGACAGCCUGUGUGUUGGGGAACUUACUCUCUAAAGUUAUUCCUCCCACCCACCGCAAAGAGUCACUUCUUUGCAGAAGAACAGUGUCUUCAGAAAAGUUACAGUAUAAUUCAUCAAACACAUAAUGGCUUCAAAAAUCUUCUACUCCCCAGUUUCAUCGCCUAAUCCUGAAAGAGAGACUGAAAUACGAAUCUCCCCUGCUGUAUAGACAAAGGUUUGAAUCUCUGCUAGGUUUUCAGAGUAAGGGCCAAAGUCUCCUCAAUUUCUCUUUCUUCUCUGGGUUUACUAUAAAAACUGAUCCUGUCCUACUAUUUUCCAAAUGUUUUUGGUUGUUACCUCUGCUUCAAUCUUUUGUGUCUGGAAAAAAUUGAUGUUUUUAUUCUCUCCUACACUCUCUUUAUUAAUUUCCUUAUUAAGACUUGUAAAAUAAUAAAUAAAGCUCUCAGGUGUUCAGUGGUUCUUCUAAGUAGUUCCUAUUGGGUAUCUCCUCCCCUUACCACGAGGUUUGUAACAUGCAACACCAGUAUUCUUGAAUUAUAAGUUGCAGUUUCAUCUCUGUGGAAUAAUUGCCUCCGGUCUUCAAGGAGCAAGAACUCUUAACUGGUACUGAAUAUACUUCUGAUCCUUAGUGAUUUACAUUUUGCUCUUCGAUAUAUGAAAAUGUGACAUUGUAAAUUUUUGUGAAUCAAAGUCAGUAGGAAACUACAUAUGUAUCUGUAAUAUAUCACCAAAUAUCAGACAGUGAUACCUAAGCGGGUAAGUGGUAAGGAGACAAAAUAAUAGUGGAUUACCAUGUGUGCUGUACUAAGAGCCAAGGACAAACAAAGGUUGCUAUGGACUUUCAUGUAACAUUUUAUAACGUCACUUGCCUUGCCUCAUAUUCUAUGUGAUAAAGUAUGUAAGUGGUCUAAACUGUGACAGCUUCUGGUUACCAGUUUCUAGUAUAUCCAAAUAAUAAGCUUUGCUAAUUACCAGAUUUUCAACAUUAGGGAAAUCAUACACAAUAAAGGCAAAUCACUUUGUCAAAAUAAUGCUUUUGAAGUACCAAGCCUACUAUUUGCUCUAAUGGUCACAGAAAACAAAACACAGCCAGCUAAAAGUAAAGACAGCUGAAAAUUAUCCACUGUUCUUUCCUCCAGCUGCUAUGCUAGAUGAGAAUUUGGUCAGUCUAAUCUUUAAAAGUUGCUCAGGUAACACACACUUUUGCUGUGUAAAAUUAUGGAUAAAGUUUACGUGGCCAAAUAUGCCUCCAUAAUUGCAGAUAAAUCAUAGGCUAUGUCAAUCAUAAUUUCACAGUAAGUGCCAGCUUCCCAGGUGAAUAUCAACUGGGAUCCUUUUUCCUCCCUUACCUUUUUUCCUCACUUCUGCUUUUGGAAUUCCAUAGCAGUUCUUAUGCAGUACAAGACCAUCUCUUUCUUACUGUUCUGUCAUCUAUCAGAUGUCUUUCCUGCAAAGAAAGGCUGAGGGAGCUGGGCUUUUUCAGUCUGGAGAAGACUUAAAGGAUAUCUCACUGUGGCCUUCCAGUACAUUAAGGGAGUGUAGGAGAACCACCUUUUACAUGAGCAGAUAGUGAUAGGACAAGGGGGAAUGGCUUUAAACUAAAAGAAGGGAGAUUUAGAUUAGAUAUUAGGAGGAAUUUCUUUACUCAGAGGGUGGUGAGGCACUGGCACAGGCUGCCCAGAGGACCCUCUGGGCAGGGAUGCCUCAUCCCUGGAGGAGUUCAAGGCCAGGCUGGAUGGGCCCUGGACAGCCUGAUCCAUUGGUUAGCAACCCUGCUCGCAGUAGGGAGUUGGAACUAGGUGAUCUUUAAUGUCUCAAGCCACGUUUGAUUCUCUGAUCCUUUGACUCUAUGAUUCUCUGUGGAAAAGGCAGCAGGGAGCUUGGCUACUUUCCUCAGCCCCUGCACUCUGCCUGAGCAAACGCAAGCAAGAUCUUGGAGAUAGCUCAGCUAAAGAAAC